RNAcentral lists this long non-coding RNA (1989 nucleotides) under Pomacea canaliculata. RNAcentral's name for it is "uncharacterized LOC112560405". The record is from RNAcentral. Lineage: Eukaryota; Metazoa; Mollusca; Gastropoda; Architaenioglossa; Ampullariidae.
AGAGCAAGUCAAGCUCAUUAACUCUCUCAAACGUUUCUGAAUAUUUCACAUUCUGUGGAGGUCUUGUUCUCUCCAUGAUUGUGGCACUUCUGGAUUAUUGCAUUAGAAUGAGGCUCAGACAGAGGAACUGCAAAACAGGCAUAACUUCAAUUCGAUUUUCCCGAAAAAAAGACAGAUCAAGGGAAAGAACAACACGGAGCAGCUACCGACAACCUACGUCCAAUGUAAUGUCAGGCAACAACGGAACAUGCCCAUAUUCAAGAGAAGCACUGCACUCGUGUAUUGAUACGCUGGACAACUCAUUAUGACAGUGACUUCUGCUACUCCAGUCACACACAAGUCUGCCUUUGGUCGGCACGGACUGUGAGUUCUCAGGGUGUCGUAGGAACACUUCAUCGAAAUUUGCUUCAUCUCCAUGCUCUGCAACCGUCACACAAUGAAUCUGUAUCCUAUACACGUCCGUGGUCACACGCAGGCCUACACGCGAAGGGAGACAAUCUCACUAUCGCCCUGCGCUAAUUCUGCCUCCAUGUCCAUCAACGUGUUUUGGAUGCGGUGGAGUACAUCGGUUCCCGGUCAUUCAUCAAAAGGCUAAAAAAUAGAAUGAUCCUGGAGAGUUUUCAACAGAUUUUUGCAAAGUUUGGUCCAAAAAGAAUCGUCAGCAAAUAUAUCCUGUUGAUCCAUGUGUUUUUAGUUUGGCGCGAUGUGAUAUGAAGCCGUUAAAAGCUUGUGUUCACACCUCUAAAUAAGCAUUACUUGUGUCCCUUAAUGUGAAAGCUAUUUAUGAUCGUGCGUGUGUGUGUGUGCUUGCUUUUUGUCAAUUUGUGUGUGCGUGCAUACGAUCGCGCAUGUGUGUGGUGUGAGAAGAGAGAGAAGGAGAGCAUGCAGUCCUUCAUUACGAACAAAAGUCUUAAAGAUCAUUUUCCCCAGCACUAUGUGAGUAAUUUCAAACUAUUUUUAAAGAAAAGGUUUACUUAUUGUGUGUUUUGUUCAUGUGUUUUUAACUGUGGAUCAUGGAGAAUAUUUUCAUUGACACAAUGACUGGUUGAUAGACAACGACGUGAGCACAAUGUCCUAUUUCACAGCGACUCUUGGCCUUAAUUUGCUUUUAACAUUUUGUAAAGAUGUUCGCGAAUGAUCAUUAGCAUACUGGAGUCUGCUUGAUGGAUUUACUUUCAGUGCAAUAUAAUGGCCUUAGUUGCUGCCGCAGUGUAUCGCUGUGUUUGGAGUUCAUUUACUUUGCUUGUCAUUUUACUUUUCAAAUGCAAAUUUGCAAAAAUAAAUUGGAAUGGUUUGGAAAUGAGAGAGGCUUUAUAUCAUGCACAUCGUAUGACCAUGUGAUGUCUCAUUACUGAGAUUUCUUGUUUACAAAUCCAAACAAAAAUGAACACCAUCCCUUUGUGUCUUUAACCACAUUUAUUGACUGAUAUAAAUAUUAAAAUGUCUGAGAAUGUAAUGGUUUCUGGAAUAUUUUUGCAUCAAUCAUUACAUCUUCCCUAUUAGAAACGGAACUGCAUAAGAAAUGCUCACCGUGCAACAUUCUUUGUCAAUAAAGAUGCAACAUUGUGUAUCACAAAUCACGUCCUAGGUAUAACCAGACAUUAUAAAAUCCAUCAGACUGAAUAGUUGUCGCUUUUGCUUAAGAAACUUGCAAUUUGAAAGAAACAUCCAAGGUUUGUAUCACAAGUAUUAACGGAAAAGUAUAUCAAUAUACAAUGAAACUCUUAAUUUUAAACAAAAUAAAGACCUGAGGGUUUGUUUGUUGUUUUUUUUCUUUUUUUUCUUUUUUUUCUUUUUUUUUUUCUUUUUUUGUUGUUAACUUUUUAAUGCCUUGUUUUCUGACGUCAUAAAUAGCAGUUGGUUACUAGCUGAUUAUGUAAUUUGCUUGUGGGAAGGGGAGAUGAUUCGUCCUGUAUUCUCUUAUGCCUCACUCUGCUGCACGCGCAAACAUGGCCUUUCACGCUGCAAUGAAUAAACAAUUCCCUGGUG